GGCGAUCCGGGUGGUCCCGGGCUCCGGUUCAUACCCGGAAGUGCAGCGGGUUCGACUCCCGCCGUCGCGUC
RNAcentral lists this transfer RNA (71 nucleotides) under Microbacterium sp. Bi121. Its description in RNAcentral is "tRNA-Met". The record is from RNAcentral. Lineage: Bacteria; Bacillati; Actinomycetota; Actinomycetes; Micrococcales; Microbacteriaceae.